CGGAGUACAUUUACUUGAGUACAGUACUUAAGUACAAUUUUGAGGGAUCUGUACUUUACUCGAGUAUCAUUCUUGGGGAGUACUCACGACUUUACUCAAGUACAUUUGAGAGGCAAAUAUUGUACUCUUUACUCCGCUACAUUUCUAUCCAUAACCGUGAGUAGCCGUUACUUCAAAUAAAAAAAUAAAAAUUUAAAUCCUCAAUUUGUCGUUUCCCUCUCAAACGUGAUUGGAUUGUGCAGGCACCACUGAUUGGGACAGCCAAUCAGCAAUCAGCAAUCACCUUCAGUUUUCUGCCAAAAUCAACCGUCAGAUUAGAUGAGAGACGUUAUAACCAUGGACUAAACAAUGGAAGAAGCCGGAGCAGGUCCGUCCCAGGGAUUUGUAAACCCGUGGCCCCACCUUGCCAGCCUAUUCACAUUUUCCGAACAGAAUGGUGAUAGUUUUCGUUUUAAGUGUUUGCUAUGUUUACCGAAGCAGAAUUUCAUCACUGCCUACAAAAAUUCCACAUCCAACUUGCGGAAGCAUGUCAAGGUACGUACAGACAGGAUUACAAAAGUGUUUGAAUACAUGAGAGAUAUGUUACCCAAAGUCUUGUAUUUGCCUGACCUAAUAUUGCAGGACUUGUUAGAUAGACAGAAGCACCUAAAUACUUUGUUCUACCGGAAUCUACAGCGAGCUAGCACACGAAACAGACGUGGUCCAAACCGCGUUAGCAUUUAUUUUUUUUAAUACCGGGUUAAUCCUUCCAGGCUAUGUGGAGUGAGUUUGUCUGUCAUGCAUGUGUCUAAGUGUGUCAGUAAAUAAGGAAUAUGAUGUCUAAUACAAUGUUUGUAGGCAGCAGUCCUGUAAGUAGGGGUGUUAAGUCUAAGAUGGUGCCUUGUGUUAUCGUCAUGACGGGAUGCAUUUUGAGUGAACAUGUUCAGGAAAUAAGCAGGGAGGUUUUUGUUUAAGAACUUGUGGUAGAAUUUCAGGCACUGUAUUAUGUAGAUAUCAUCUAAUUUUAAUUGAUUUAACCGUAUGAAAAUUGGCUCAGUAUGCUCAUUUAAUUUGCUUUAGCAUUUGUGUAGCGCGCACGAGGGAGAGGGACCUAGAGACUGUGCGUGUGUGAGGCAGUGUGCAUGUGUGCCUCAGUAGCAUCCUGAUUAUAUGGAUAUCUGCGGGGCGAGGGCUUCAAUUACCUCUCUCUUUUUUGACUAUACAUGUGUUUGCAUCCCUGUUUGCUGAUCCCCGUAAAUUAAAGUUAGUUGCACCAGUAAAACCAAUUAAAAAGUUAGUCUGGAACCAUUGGAAAAUUAUGAACAACCAGCACUUCAUAAUUAAUAAUACUGCUAUGUAGACUAUAUGAUGGGAAUCUUUCCUAAUAUUUAUUAGUUUUAUAUAGAGUAAACUGAAAUAUUAUACUUUGUUUUACAGAGAAGGCAUGAGACACAUAUGGAGAAAUACUCCAAACUGACUUCAACAGCCUGCAAGAGGCCAUCGGAUGGUGGAACAGGCUUCAAGGGGAAGCAAAUGAAGCUGUUGGAGACCAAGCAGGUGUCUCAGAAGACGGUUGAUCAGGCUAUCCUCCGCUUCAUCGUUCAAGGUCUCCAGCCCUUCUCCCUGGUUGAGAAACCAUCCUUUCAAGACCUUAUUGUAGAAUUGCAACCGAGAAGUGCUGUCAUGUCCCGCACAACUGUGCGGCGUAAGAUUGAUUCAGCUACAUCUAAAAUGAAUGAAAGUCUCAAGAACGUAAUGAAAGAGGUACCAUACAUUGCCACCACUACUGAUUGUUGGACGGCCAGGAGAAGAAGCUUUAUAGGUGUAACAGCCCACUGGCUCGAUCCUUGUAGUUUUGAACGCCGUUCAGCUGCCCUUGCUUGCCGUCAACUAAGAGGCUCCCACACAUUCGAUGCCUUGGCAGCUGUUUUGACCGACAUUCAUGCCGAGUAUGAAAUAAGUCUAAAGGUUGUUAGAACUACAACAGACAACGGGUCGAAUUUCGUCAAAGGGUUCCGUGUCUUUGGUCAGCAGGACGAAAAUAACAAUGAAGAGUUAGUUGCAGAAGGCACAAUCGAAGAAGUAGGAGAAGAUUGUGAUGCAUCUGAUGGUGAAGAGGAGGUGGAACUCAUUGAUGUGGAAGCCAUUCUGGAGGAAGAUGAUGGGCUUCAGUAUCAGCUGCCGAAACAUCAUCGGUGUGCAUGUCAUUUACUACAUUUAGUUUCCACAGUCGAUGUUGAUAAGGCUAAUACGACAGAAGCUUACAAGAAAUUGUCCAGAUCAGCCUUUUCUAAGUGUCAGGCACUCUGGAAUAAAGCAUCAAGGUCUCCUCAAAAUGCUGAGCUUAUAGAGGAACACUGUAAGCUUCACUUGGUACAGCCUAAUUCAAUUCGAUGGAACUCGUCUUUCAUGGCCGUGGAACGUGUGGUCAGAAUCAUUAAAGACCAAGGACAGGGGUCUGUGAGAACGGUCUGUGCUGCACUCAAUGUUCCAAUGUAAGUAGCUUAUGUUAAUGUAUAAUUGUGUUCUUAAUUUGUUAGAAUAAUGCUUACCACAUUAUCUGCUGUAGGUACAUAAACAAAUUAAUAAAUGUCCAGCAUUGCACAGUGGUUCUGUAUACAUUUUGUGGAAAUAUGUGUUUGUUUAUUUUCUUCUGUUUCUAUUAGGUACAGUCCGGCUGACAUAGCCUUUUUAGGGGAAUAUGUCACCACCAUGAGUCCAGUUGCAAAGUCCUUGAACAUACUACAAGGUGAAGUCAACAUUCAGAUGGGCUGGCUGCUCCCGACAAUCACCACCCUCACAACCAAGCUUGAAAAGUCCAGACCGUCACUCAGAUUUUGCAAGCCACUUGUUGAUGCUCUUCUUGAAGGUUUGAGGAAGCGGUUUGAGAGCAUGAUGUCAGAGCCAGAGCUAAUUGCAGCAGCCAUACUUGUUCCAAGGUUCAAAACCUCCUGGACCAGCAAUGACACAGUCCUACAGCUUGGCCUUAGUUACAUCAAGACACAUCUGCCAGAACAUGAUGAAGGUCUUCGGUCUCCUGAUACCACAGCAUCCUCUUCUGAAGAUGAUGACUUCUUCUCCAAUGUCAAGCCGACACAUUCCAAUGAGAUAAGUCAGCAACUUGAUGGAUACCUAGCCGCUACAGCUGAUGGAGUGAAUACACUGGCCCCCUAUCCAGCUGUGCGUAACCUCUCACUAAAGCUCAACACAGCCCUGCCAGCUUCAGCAGCGUGUGAAAGGCUUUUUAGCAUUGCCGGUUUGCUUUUCACCCCAAGAAGGGGAUCAAUUCAUUCACAGAAUUUUGAGAACCAACUUCUCCUCAAGUUGAACAAGGAGUUCAUGAAAUUUGAUUGAACUGAAGUACAACACACACACACACACACACA
RNA transcript from Gadus chalcogrammus (walleye pollock), 3365 nucleotides. RefSeq lists it as uncharacterized. The record is from RefSeq and is a predicted model, not a curated record. The transcript is spliced from 2 exons. NCBI's taxonomy places the organism in Eukaryota, Metazoa, Chordata, Actinopteri, Gadiformes, Gadidae.